Molecule: long non-coding RNA, 748 nt
Organism: Xenia sp. Carnegie-2017
Lineage: Eukaryota; Metazoa; Cnidaria; Anthozoa; Malacalcyonacea; Xeniidae
Exons: 2
Source: RefSeq, a predicted model, not a curated record
UUCAGCACAGAUUGAGAUUUUUGAUAGCCGAGGUUUUAUCUUUGAGCUUCAAAACCAACAAUAUUAAUGAGAAGCUUGGCAUCUUUCACUGAUCGAGUCGAAGUUGAUUUUACGAGGAAAGAUAAGACUUGGAGAAGUUGAUUUUACGAGAAGUUAUGGCUCAACUCUACGGAGAGAUGUUGGAUUGCCUGAAAGUCAACAGCAUUGUUACCAACGAUAAUCUGUUGGAUCGUCUCCGGUGUUGAUAUUUUCCGAAAUAUCAAUGCCGAAUUUUACAUACCGUAGAGUGCCAAGACAAAGAACACAAAUUUGGUUGCCUUAAGAGAAAAGGUGAGAGGUAUGGAAGUUCAUGAAAUUGAAAAACUUGUGAAGAAUGUAUUCGUACCUGAUGAAUGCUAUGAAUUUCCUAAAACUGUUCAUGCAAAUGGUCGCAGUAGGUCUUUUCGACAUUAUUGGCUGAAGGAUUAUCUUUGGCUUUCGUAUUCUCCAAGUCUUAAUGGUGGUUUUUGCUUACCAUGUGUUUUGUUUGGUAAUAGGUUUCCCUCCAAAAACAGUCGAAUUAAAAAUUUUUUCUGAGCCAUUGACACAUUGUCCUGAUGCUAAAUGUGCAUUUAAAAGGCAUAUUAGUACAUCAUCAGGUCUUCAUGUUCACACUUCUGCUUUUCUUAAGGACAUCUUGGAUCAGAGUUCCGGUAAAAGCCAGCCAAUAAACGUCAUGAUUGACAGUAACUUAAAGAAAAAGAUUUCA